GCCGGGGUAGUAGAGUGGUCUACGCCUCUGGAGUUCAGUAAUAAAUAUCCUCCUAAAUUCCUGUAAACGUGGAUGUCACGCACCAUACACCUUGUGGCUGCUAGUACACCACGGCCACAGAGACUGGACUCCAGAGGAGACGUCGGUUCGAAUCCGACUCCUGGCA
Molecule: non-coding RNA, 166 nt
Organism: Hypoxylon fuscum
Lineage: Eukaryota; Fungi; Ascomycota; Sordariomycetes; Xylariales; Hypoxylaceae
Source: the annotation of a GenBank genome assembly